This 200-nucleotide long non-coding RNA is filed under the name Elaeis guineensis (African oil palm). RNAcentral's name for it is "long non-coding RNA (EGUI_LNC053233)". Lineage: Eukaryota; Viridiplantae; Streptophyta; Magnoliopsida; Arecales; Arecaceae. The record is from RNAcentral.
AUACUUUGAACUACCCAUUUUUUCUUCAAUCGAAACACAAACCCUAGGAACUCCUUGAUGAUUACAAUCAAACAAUUCUAGCAUGCAUAUAAAUAAGAGAUUAGAAGUUAUAUACUAAACAUGAAGAUGAGGAUCUAGUAAUAGAAUGAUCUUCAUAAGACUCUAAAGUAGAAGUCCUCCAACGGUGAUCCACACGGGAC